GACGAACGCUGGCGGCGCGCUUAACACAUGCAAGUCGAGCGAGAACCCAGGCUUCGGUCUGGGGGAAAGCGGCGAACGGGUGAGUAACACGUGGGUAAUCUGCCCUCGACAUCGGGAUAGCCCGGGGAAACCCGGAUUAAUACCGAAUGGCCCAUCAGCUUUUCGAAGCGGAUGGAAAAGGUAGCUUCGGCCUCCGGUCGAGGAGGAGCCCGCGGCGGAUUAGCUUGUUGGUGAGGUAACGGCUCACCAAGGCUUCGAUCCGUAGCUGGUCUGAGAGGACGAUCAGCCACACUGGGACUGAGACACGGCCCAGACUCCUACGGGAGGCAG
This 330-nucleotide ribosomal RNA is filed under the name uncultured Actinomycetes bacterium. Its description in RNAcentral is "bacterial SSU rRNA". It matches the Rfam family "Bacterial small subunit ribosomal RNA", at positions 28 to 351 of the family's 1533-position model. The record is from RNAcentral. Lineage: Bacteria; Bacillati; Actinomycetota; Actinomycetes.